RNAcentral lists this non-coding RNA (87 nucleotides) under Ruminococcus sp. RNAcentral describes it as "SAM-I sequence". It matches the Rfam family "SAM riboswitch aptamer (S box leader)". From Rfam's summary of the family: The SAM riboswitch is found upstream of a number of genes which code for proteins involved in methionine or cysteine biosynthesis in Gram-positive bacteria. RNAcentral also lists the same sequence under 1 other name. Lineage: Bacteria; Bacillati; Bacillota; Clostridia; Eubacteriales; Oscillospiraceae. The record is from RNAcentral.
AACCUAUAAAGAGUGCGUGAGAGACAAGCUCGAUGACCGCACGACAACCUGCCUAACGGUAAGGUGCCAAUGCUUGAACGAUGGGUU